RNAcentral lists this ribosomal RNA (478 nucleotides) under uncultured bacterium. RNAcentral describes it as "partial 16S ribosomal RNA". It matches the Rfam family "Bacterial small subunit ribosomal RNA", at positions 28 to 507 of the family's 1533-position model. The record is from RNAcentral.
GAUGAACGCUGGCGGCGUGCUUAACACAUGCAAGUCGAACGAGAAGUGAAGACGGAAACCUUCGGGCGGAAGGCUUUAUUUCGAGUGGCGGACGGGUGAGUAACGCGUGGGUAACCUGCCUCAUACAGGGGGAUAACAGUUGGAAACGACUGUUAAUACCGCAUAAGACCACAGCACCGCAUGGUGCGGGGGUAAAAACUCCGGUGGUAUGAGAUGGACCCGCGUUCGAUUAGCCAGUUGGCGGGGUAACGGCCCACCAAAGCGACGAUCGAUAGCCGAUCUGAGAGGAUGACCGGCCACAUUGGGAAUGAGACACGGCCCCAACUCCUACGGGAGGCAGCAGUGGGGGAUAUUGCACAAUGGGGGAAACCCUGAUGCAGCGGCGCCGCGUGAGUGAAGAAGUAUUUCGGUAUGUAAAGCUCUAUCAGCAGGGAAGAAAAUGACGGUACCUGAGUAAGAAGCCCCGGCUAACUACGUG